CAGGUGGUUCAGGCACAUCUGGCAUGUGGUUCCAUUCUGUCUGGUAGGUGGUUCCAGCGUGUCUGGCACGUGGUUCUGGCACAUGUGAGAGGUGGUUCGGGCAUGCCCAACAGGUGAUUCCGGAGUGUCCGCCAAGUGGUUCUGGCAUAGAUGGCAGGUGAUUUUGGCAUGUCCGGCAGGUGGUUCUGGCGAGUCGAGAAGGUGGUUCCGGUGAGCUCGGCAGGUGCUUCCGGAGUCUCCGGCAUGUGGUUGUUGCACGUCAGAGAGGUGGUUCCGGCAUGCCUGGCACGUGAUUCCGGAGUGUCCAACAAGUGGUUCUGGCACAGCCGGCAUGUGAUUUUGGCAUGUCCGGUAAGUGGGUCCUGCGAGUCGAGCUGGCGGUUCCGGCAUGCUCGACAGGUGGUUCAGGUCUGUCCGGCAGGUGGUUCCAGUCUGUCCAGGACGUGGUUCCUGCAUGUCCGGAAUGUGGUUCUGCUACGUCUCAGAGGUGGUUCCGGCAUGCCAGGCAGGUGAUCAUGGAGAGUCCUCCAAGUGGUUCUGGCGUAGCCGGCAGGUGAUUUUGGCGUUUCCGGCAGGUGGUUCUGGUGAGUCGAGCAGGUGGUUCCGGCGUGCUCGGCUGGUGGUUCAGGCGGGUCCGGCAGGUAGUUCCGGUCUGUCCGGUUGGUGGUUCCGGCGUGUCCAGCACCUGGUUUUGGCGCGUCUCAGCAGUGGUUCUGGCAUGCCCGGCAGGUGAUUCCAGAGAGUCCAGCAAGUGGUUCUGGCAUAGCCGGCAUGUGAUUUGGGCGUGUCCGGAAGCUGCUUCCAGCGAGUCGAGCAGGUGGUUCCCGCGUGCUCGGCUGGUGCUCCUGGUGUCUUUGGCAGGUGGUGCUGGCAUGUCUGACAGGUGGUUCCAGCACGCCCAGCAGGUGAUUCCAGUGUGUCUGCCAAGUGGUUCUGGCAUAGCCAGCAGGAGAUUUUGCGUGUCCAGCUGUGGUUCCGGCCAGUCGAGCAGGUGGUUCCGGCAUUUCCGGCAGGUGGUUCCGGUCGGUCUGGGAGGUGGUUCCGGGGUGUCCGGCACGUGCAUCUGGCACAUCUGAGAGGUGGUUCCAGCAUGCCGAGCAGGUGAUUCCAGAUUGUCCACAAAUGGUUCUGGCGUAACCGGCAGGUGAUUUUGCAUGUCUGGCAGGUGGUGCUGGCGAGUCAAGCAGGUAGUUUGGGCAAGCUCUGCAGGUGCUUCUGGCGUCUCCAGCAUGUGGUUCUGGUACGUCUGAGAAGUGGUUCUGGCAUGCCCAGCACGUGAUUCUGGAUUGUCCAUUAAGUGGUUCUGGCAUAGCCGGCAGGUAUUUUGGCGUGUAAGGCAGGUGGGUCCUGCAAGUCAACAGGUGGUUUCGGCAUGCUCGGCAGCUGGUUCAGGCGCGUCCGGCAGGUGGUUCUGUUCUGUCCUGUAGGUGGUUCCGGCGUGUCCAGCACGUGGGUCUGGCAUGUCUGAGAGGUGGUUCCCGCAUGCCUGACAGGUGAUUCCGGAGUGUGCGCUAAGUGGUUCUGGCGUAGCCAACAGGUGAUUUUGGGGUGUCCGGCAGGUGGUUCUGUGGAGUGCAUCAGGUACUUCCAGCAUUCUCGGCAGGUGCUUCCAGCGACUCCAGCACGUGUUUCUAGCACGUCUGAGAGAUGGUUCCGGCAUGCCCAGCAAGUGAUUCUGGAGUGUCCGGCAAGUGGUUCUGGCACAGCCGGCAUGUGAUUUUGGCAUGUCCGGUAAGUGGGUCCUGCGAGUUGAGCAGGUGGUGCCUGCAUGCUCGACAGAUGGUUCAGGCGUGUCCGGCAGGUGCUUCCAGUCUGUCCAGGACGUAGUUCCGGUGUGUCUGGCACGUGGUUCUGGUAAGUCUCAGAGGUGGUUCCGGCAUGCCCGGCAGGUGAUCCAGGAGACUGCUCUAAGUGAUUCUGGCAUAGCCGGCAGGUAAUUUUGGCAUGUCCGGUAUGAGGUUGCGGCGGGCUCUGCAGGUGGUUCAGGCAGGUCCGGCCGGUGGUUCCGUUCUGUCUGGGAGGUGGUUCCGGCGUGUCCGGCACUGGGUUCCGGCACGUCUGAGAGGUGGUUCCAGCAUGCCCGCCAGGUGAUUCCGGAUUGUCCACCAAGUGGUUCUGGCGUAGCCGGCAGGUGAUUUUGGCGUGUCCCACAGGUGGUUCCGACGAUUCGAGCAGGUGCUUCCGGCUAGCUCGGCAGGUGCUUCUGGCAUCUCCGGCACUUGAUUUUGGCACAUUUGAGAGGUGGGUCCGGCAUUCCCAGCAGGUGAUUCCGGAAAGUCCGGCAAGUGGUUCUGGCAUAGCCAGCAGGUGAUUUUUGUGUGUCCGGCAGGUGGUUCCUGCAUGCUCGGCAGGUGGUUCAGGCGUAUCAGGCAUGUGGUUCGGGCACAUCUGAGAGGUGGUUCCGGCAUGCCUGACAGGUGAUUCUGGAGUGUCUGCUGAGUGGUUGUGGCAUAGCCGGCAGGUGAUUUUGGCGUGUCCAGCAGGUUUUUCUGGGGAGUGGAUCAGGUGGUACCGGCAUACUCGGCAGCUGGUUCUGGUGUGUCCGGCCCAUGGUUCUGGCACGUCCAAGAGGUCUUUCCGGCAUGAGCAGCAGGUGAUCCCAGAGAGUUCUCCAAGUGGUUCUGCCGUAGCCCGCAGGUGUUUUUGGUGUGUCCGGCAGGUGGUUCUGGCGAGUCGAGCAGGUGGUUCCUGGUGUGCUCGGAAGGUGGUUCAGGCAGGUGCGGCAGGUGUUUCCAGUCCGUCCAUGACGUGGUUCUGGCAUGCCCGGAAGUUGAUUCUGGACUGUCCACCAAGUGGUUUUGGCAUAGCCGGCACGUGAUUUUGGCGUGUCAGGAAGGUGGUUCCGGCGUGUCCAGCAGGUGGUUCCAGCGAGCUCGGCAGUUGCUUCCGGUCUCUCCGGCACGUGGUUGUGUCACGUCUGAGAGGUGGUUCCGGCAUGCCCGGCAGGUGAUUCCAGCGUCUGCGGCAUGAGGUUCUGGCACAUCUGAGAGGUGGUUCCGGCAUGCCCUGCAGAUGAUUCCGGAGUGUCCGGCAAGUGGUUCUGGCAUAGCCAGCAUGUGAUUUCGGCAUUUCCCACAGGUGAUUCUGACGAUUCGAGGAGGUGCUUCCAGCUAGCUCGGCAGGUGCUUCUGGCGUCUCCGGCACUUGAUUUUGGCACAUUUGAGAGGUGGGUCCGGCCUUCCCGGCAGGUGAUUCUGGAAAGUCCGGCAAGUCUUUCUGGCAUAGCCAGCCGCUGAUUUUUGCAUGUCCGGCAGGUGGGUCCUGUGAUUCGAGCCGGAGGUUCCUGCAUGCUAGGCAGGUGGUUCAGAUGUCCGGCAGGUGGUUCCGUUGUGUCCAGUAGGUGGUUCCAGCGUGUCCGGCACGUGGUUCUGGCACGUCUGAGAGGUGGUUCCGGCAUGUCCGACAGGUGAUUCUGGAGUGUCUGCCGAGGGGUUGUGGCGUAGCCGGCAGGUGAUUUUGGCGUGUCCAGCAUGUGGCUCUGGGGAGUGGAUCAGGUGGUUCUGGCAUACUUGACAGGUGGUUCCGGCGUGUCCGGCACAUGUUACUGGCACAUCUGAGAGGUGGUUCCGGCAUGCCUGGCAGGUGAUCCAGGAGAGUCCUCCAAGUGGUUCUGGAGUUGCCCGCAGGUGUUUUUGCUGAGUCCGGCAGGUGGUUCAGGUGAGUCGAGCAGGUGGUUCCAGCGUUCUCGGCAAGUGAUUCCGGUGUGUCCGGCAGGUGGUUCUGGUCUGUCCGGUAGUCGGUUCCGGCAUGUGCCACUCGUGGUUCUGGCACGUCUGACAGUCGGUUCUGUCAUGUCCGGCAGGUGAUUCCGGAUUGUACACCAAGUGGUUCUGGCAUAGCCCACAGGUGAUUUUGGCAUGUCCAGCAGGUGGUACUGGGGAGUGGAUCAGGUGGUUCUGGCAUACUCGGCAGGUGGUUCCGGCGUGUCCGGCACAUGGUUCUGGCACAUCUGAGAUGUGGUUCCGGCAUGCCCUACUGGUGAUUCCGGAGUGUCCGGCAAGUGGUUCUGGCACAGCCGGCUUGUGAUUUUGGCGUGUCCAGAAGGUGGCUCCAGUUAUUCGAGCAGAUUGUUCCGGCGUGCUCAGCAGGUGGUUCAGGCAGGUCCGGCAGGUGGUUCUGGCCUGUCCAGUAUGUGGUUCCGGAGUGUCCGGCACGUGUUUCCGGCACGUCUGAGAGGUGGUUCCGGCAUGCCUGACAGGUGAUUCCGGAGUGUCCCACAAGUGUUUCUGGCAUAACCGGCAGGUGACUUUGAAGUGUCCGGCAGAUGAUUUUGACGUUUCCAUUAGGUGGUUCAGGCAAGUCGAGCUGGAGGUUCCGGCGUGCUCGGCAGGUGCAUCCGGUGUCUCUGGCACGUGGUUCUGGCACGUCUGAGAGGUGGUUCCAGCAUGCCUGGCAGGUGAUUUUUGAGGGCCCGCCAAGUGGUUCAGGCGUAGCCACCAGGUGAUUUUGCCGUGUCCGGCAUGUGGUUCCGGCGACUGGAGCAGGUUGUUCCAGCGUGCUCGGCAGGUGGUUCAGGUGGGUCCGGCAGGUGGUUCUGGUCUGUCCUGGAGGUGGUUCCGGCAUGUCCAGCACGUGAUUCUGGCACGUCUGAUAGGUGGUUCCGGCAUGCCUGACAGGUGAUUCCAGAGUGUGCGGCAAGUGGUUCUGGCGUAGCCGGCAGGUGAUUUUGGCAUGUCCGGCAGGUGAUUUCAGCGUUUCCUGCAGGUGAUUUUGACGUGUCCGGCAGGUGUUUCUGGCGAGCUGUUCAGGUGGUUCUGGUGUUCUCGGCAGGUGAUUCCAGCAUGUCCGGCAGGUGAUUCCGGAUUGUCCACCAAGUGGUUCUGGCGUAGCCGGCAGGUGAUUUUGGCAUGUCCCACAGGUGGUUCCGACGAUUCGAGCAGGUGCUUCCGGCUAGCUCGGCAGGUGCUUCUGGUGUCUCCGGCACUUGAUUUUGCCACAUUUGAGAGGUGGGUCCGGCAUUCCCAGCAGGUGAUUCCGGAAAGUCAGGCAAGUGGUUCUGGCACAGCCAGCAGGUGAUUUUCGCGUGUCCGGCAGGUGGGUCCUGCGAGUCGAGCAGGUGGUUCCUGCAUGCUCGGCAUGUGGUUCCGGCAUGUCCGGCAUGUGGUUCUGGCACGUCUGAGAGGUGGUUCCGACAUGCCUGGCAGGUGAUUCCGGAGUGUCUGCCGAGUGGUUCUGGCGUAGCCAGCAGGUGAUUUUGGCAUGUCCAGCCGGUGGUUCUGGUGAGUGGAUCAGUUGGUUCCGGCAUACUCGGCAGGUGGUUCUGGUGUGUCCGGCACAUGGUUCUGGCACGUCUGAGAGGUGGUUCCGGCAUGCACGGCACGUGAUCCCGGAGAGUCCUCCAAGUGGUUCUCGUGUAGCCCGCAGGUAUUUUUGGUGUGUCCGGCAGGUGGUUCUGGCGAGUCGAGCAGGCAGUUCCAGCAUGCUCGGCAGGUGGUUCAGGCAGGUCCGGCAGGUGUUUUCAGUCUGUCCAUUACGUGGUUCCGGCAUGCCCGGAAGGUCAUUCUAGAGUUCCAGGAAGUGGUUUUGACGUAGCCGGCACGCGAUUUUGGCGUGUCAGGCAGGUGGUUCUGGCGUGUCCAGCAGGUGGUUCCGGUGAGCUCGGCAGGUGCUUCCGGUCUCUCCAGCUCAUGGUUGUGGCAUGUCUGAGAGGUGGUUCCGGCAUGCCCGGCAAGUUCAUCCGGUGUCUCUGCAACGUGGUUAUGGCACGUCUGAGAGGUGUUUCCAGCAUGCCUCACACGUGAUUCCGGAGUCUCCGGCAAGUGGUUCUGGCAUAGCCGGCAGGUGAUUUUAGUGUGUCCGGCAUGUGGUUCUGGCGACUCGAGCAGGUCGUUCCAGCAUGCUCGGCAGGUGGUUCAGGGGGUCCAGAAGCUGGUUCUGGUGUGUCCUUGAGGUGGUUCCGGCCUGUCCUGCACGUGGUCCUUGAAUGUCUGAGAGGUGGUUGCAGCAUGCCCGACAGGUGAUUCUGGAGUGUCCGGCAAGUGGUUCUGGCGUAGCCGGCAGGUGAUUUUGAUGUGUCUGGCAGGUGUUUCUGGCACAUCUGAGAU
Molecule: long non-coding RNA, 6044 nt
Filed under: Equus caballus (horse)
Lineage: Eukaryota; Metazoa; Chordata; Mammalia; Perissodactyla; Equidae
Description: lncRNA (ENSECAG00000045552.1)
Source: RNAcentral